RNAcentral lists this small RNA (326 nucleotides) under uncultured fungus. RNAcentral describes it as "eukaryotic LSU rRNA". The stretch from base 1 to 52 matches the Rfam family "5.8S ribosomal RNA", at positions 103 to 154 of the family's 154-position model. The record is from RNAcentral. Lineage: Eukaryota; Fungi.
AACGCAAAUUGCGCUCCUUGGUAUUCCGAGGAGCAUGCCUGUUUGAGUGUCAUGAAAUCAUCCACCUCACCUUUGGGCUUUUGUCCUCAGGUCCGGCUGGGACUUGGGUGCUUGCGCGUUGAAUAGACACGCUCACCUUAAAAACAUUGUUACUUGAUCCUGUCCACUGACCGGUUUGACUAGGCGUUAUAAGUUAUUUCGCUUAGGACACUCGCAAGGGUGGCCGUUCGGUAGCAGGUUCUUGCCCUAUAGUGCGCCACACGUAGACGGGGCUACAAUUCUUGACAUCUGGCCUCAAAUCAGGUAGGACUACCCGCUGAACUUAA